RNAcentral lists this ribosomal RNA (270 nucleotides) under uncultured archaeon. RNAcentral describes it as "partial 16S ribosomal RNA". It matches the Rfam family "Archaeal small subunit ribosomal RNA", at positions 477 to 747 of the family's 1478-position model. The record is from RNAcentral.
CAGCACCUCAAGUGGUCAGGAUGAUUAUUGGGCCUAAAGCAUCCGUAGCCGGCUCUGUAAGUUUUCGGUUAAAUCUGUACGCUUAACGUACAGGCUGCCGGGAAUACUGCAAAGCUAGGGAGUGGGAGAGGUAGACGGUACUCGGUAGGAAGGGGUAAAAUCCUUUGAUCUAUUGAUGACCACCUGUGGCGAAGGCGGUCUACCAGAACACGUCCGACGGUGAGGGAUGAAAGCUGGGGGAGCAAACCGGAUUAGAUACCCGAGUAGUCC